GCCGGUGAUGGUGGAGGGCAAGGCCAUCCAGCUUCACCCGCUGGUCUGCGCUCCGUUCAACGCCGACUUCGACG
Molecule: transfer RNA, 74 nt
Filed under: Alphaproteobacteria bacterium
Lineage: Bacteria; Pseudomonadati; Pseudomonadota; Alphaproteobacteria
Description: tRNA-Val
Source: RNAcentral